CUAGGCCGAGGGCACGGCUGCCUGGGUGUCACGCGUCGUUACCCCCAGCAACGAGACGUUGCGUGGGGUGCAUGAUGGCCUCCCGCGAGCGUUGUCUCUUGGUUGGUUGAAAACUGAGUUCACGGCCGAGCGUGCGGUGGCCAAACGGUGGAUGAGUAAUGCUCGAUGCCGGCCACGUGCACCUCUGUGUCGGAUUUGGAUCCUUGACCUCGUGCGUCUUUUACUUGGACGCCUCUAACGAGACCUCAGGUCAGGCGGGGCUACCCGCUGAGUUUAAGCAUAUCAAUAAGCGGAGGAAAAGAAACUAACAAGGAUUCCCUUAGUAACGGCGAGCGAACCGGGAAUAGCCCACCAUGAAAAUCGGUCGCCUCUGGCGUCUGAAUUGU
RNAcentral lists this ribosomal RNA (386 nucleotides) under Flemingia macrophylla. RNAcentral describes it as "eukaryotic LSU rRNA". The stretch from base 241 to 386 matches the Rfam family "Eukaryotic large subunit ribosomal RNA", at positions 1 to 146 of the family's 3401-position model. Lineage: Eukaryota; Viridiplantae; Streptophyta; Magnoliopsida; Fabales; Fabaceae. The record is from RNAcentral.